CCAUUCCACCAGGGGUGCCCCGGCAAGGGGCUGAGAUACUGUUGGCGGGGCUUGAAGCCCAAUGCGCACAGUGACCCGUCGAACCUGAUCCAGUUCAUACUGGCGUAGGGACGGUGCAGAUUGCCGAUG
RNAcentral lists this non-coding RNA (129 nucleotides) under Nitratireductor basaltis. RNAcentral's name for it is "TPP sequence". It matches the Rfam family "TPP riboswitch aptamer (THI element)". From Rfam's summary of the family: Vitamin B(1) in its active form thiamin pyrophosphate (TPP) is an essential coenzyme that is synthesised by coupling of pyrimidine and thiazole moieties in bacteria. The previously detected thiamin-regulatory element, thi box was extended, resulting in a new, highly conserved RNA secondary structure, the THI element, which is widely distributed in eubacteria and also occurs in some archaea. Lineage: Bacteria; Pseudomonadati; Pseudomonadota; Alphaproteobacteria; Hyphomicrobiales; Phyllobacteriaceae. The record is from Rfam by way of RNAcentral.